Long non-coding RNA from Topomyia yanbarensis, 1976 nucleotides. RefSeq lists it as uncharacterized. The transcript has 3 exons. Lineage: Eukaryota; Metazoa; Arthropoda; Insecta; Diptera; Culicidae. The record is from RefSeq and is a predicted model, not a curated record.
ACUUCCCACCAACCUGGACUCCGCACUUUCGAAGUGCGAGUGAUCAAACUGCUACUGAAAACUGCGAGCUGUCAAAUCACAUGUAUUUCAAGUGAUAGAGAUGGUAUUUUCAUGGACAGACCAGUCGAGCUAACCAGUCUAUGAGAAGAAUUCAAUAGAAGAAUAGUAAGUGCGCAGUGUGGUUAGAAUCCAGUUUUUACUGCCACAAGCAAUAAACGGAAAAUAUAAAAAUUCGAUUUGUUAACAUUUUGCAGUUUGGCCCUUUUCAAAUAUUUGACUAGAUUUACAAUGUUUCAAUUAUAAUUUGCAGCUCACUAACAAAUUCGAACGUCGACUAGACUCGAAUUCAUCGGAGAUUGUUGGCAUCAGUAUGCUGUAGCACGAAGGCGAUGUAAUAGUGAAAAAUCAGAAACUUCUUUCGCACCCAUGUCCCUUCUGUGAUAUUCAAGGGCCAAGCAUACUAGUGAUGUGCAAAACGGCUGCAGAAUCACCUCGGUCCGGGCGGAGAUACCUUGCACGGCGAUAGUUUCUUUUGGCGAUGAGCCGCUUAGAGUGCUACUAGUGUGGUAUGUGUUUAUCUUUGGUUUCAUCCCUACCAAGGUAAAUUCGGUUGUGUUGCUGUCAGCUUUGCAGCUAACAGAUAACCAUGUGCAGCACAGAACGACAUCAAGGAGAACAAGAACAGUGUCGACAGAUGCUCCUUAUUCUGGACGGUGAAGGUUUCCAUCGAUCGAGAGGAUCUACGAGCACGUCAGGUUUUGGCGGCGCAUAUCAGCAAGCUUGUACCGUGGAUGCAAUAUUUCAAUAUUGGAAAAACAAACUCAUUGAGAAGGAAUCGUCGCCAGUUCAAUGACCUUAUUUUCACCAUCAGUCUCAACAUAUUUUCGAUUCCAACAUAUUUUCGGAGAAGCUCGAAGCAGAUUGUGAUAUGCAUUCCAAAGAAAACCAGACACAGGAGAACGUUGAGAUUCGAUGGAAUAUGGGAUUGAACAAGAAAACAAUUGUCUAUUCGAUGUUGACAUGAAGGUUGAUGUUGGGAUUUACAAGCGAACUGCAAAAAUCAUUGGUGUGCAAUGAAAGUUCCCAAUAUUUACGGACAAGACAAGAUAUUUAUUUUCAAUUGAAAUACAAACAUCAGUCACAGGUCGAGUGCGCCUUACGCUAUGCGGUGGAUUUUAUCUAAGAAGAUCUACUCGUGGAUAUUGGGAUACGGCCAUCAAAAUGGUUCCAAUGAUGUUACACUCUGUAUCAACAAUUUGCCAAUGUGCUUCAGUGCUCCGAGCUUGCCUGAUUCGUUCCCAGAUGUAGGUCGUUAACCCAUUAUAACCCAGCUAUGUUAAAACUUUUGGUAAUUUAUAAAAUACUUCGUGAGCUCUCAUAUUAUGUCGAAUUAAGUAUGGGAAAAAUAAAAUAACCACUUUGGACCGUUUCGUUGCGAAAAAAACUAACGUAUGAAAUUUCAUACGCUGGGCUGAUAGGGUAUCAAAAAAUCAUUACAGAGAAAAAGAAAAAGAACAUUUUCUUACGAGAAUUUACAUAAAAAAUAUUCCGGGUAGAACCAGGUAUGAUUUGCUACGUAUUAAGCAUUUGUUAGCCUUGAAUGUACUGAUUCAACUUUAAAAUCAGCGUGAAAGUUGUAAAUCUCCUCCUAAUCCUAAAGAGGAAAUAAUUUUGCCUUGGGAAAAAAGAUAUCGGUUCAGCCUAGCGUAUGAAAUUUCAUACGUUGAACUACCAGCAGAAUGUUUGCAAUUGUUUCACCAAUUUCUUCCAUUUUUUCGCACUGAGCCUCAUCUUUCACAUCUCUUAUGGCCAUUCGUUCACAAUCCGAAACAAGAAUUAGUGAUUUAGAAGAGAAAAUUAAUAAUAUGUAUUGUUCACAUUUUGGUUUGAAUUUUAUCCAACUUUGACAUUCGAAAACACAAUGGAAUUUAAUAAAAAAUGAUUAUUGAGCAUACACAUUAUAAACUAUAGGGUAU